RNAcentral lists this ribosomal RNA (301 nucleotides) under uncultured bacterium. RNAcentral describes it as "partial 16S ribosomal RNA". It matches the Rfam family "Bacterial small subunit ribosomal RNA", at positions 509 to 807 of the family's 1533-position model. The record is from RNAcentral.
CAGCAGCCGCGGUAAUACAGAGGGUGCGAGCGUUAAUCGGAUUUACUGGGCGUAAAGCGUGCGUAGGCGGCUAAUUGAGUCGGAUGUGAAAUCCCCGAGCUUAACUUGGGAAUUGCAUUAGAUACUGGUUAGCUAGAGUGUGGGAGAGGAUGGUAGAAUUCCAGGUGUAGCGGUGAAAUGCGUAGAGAUCUGGAGGAAUACCGAUGGCGAAGGCAGCCAUCUGGCCUAACACUGACGCUGAGGUACGAAAGCAUGGGGAGCAAACAGGAUUAGAUACCCCAGUAGUCCCUGUCUCUUAUAC